Molecule: ribosomal RNA, 250 nt
Filed under: uncultured bacterium
Lineage: Bacteria
Description: partial 16S ribosomal RNA
Rfam family: Bacterial small subunit ribosomal RNA
Source: RNAcentral
UACGUAGGGUGCGAGCGUUGUCCGGAAUUACUGGGCGUAAAGAGCUCGUAGGCGGUUUGUCGCGUCGUCUGUGAAAUCCCGCAGCUCAACUGCGGGCUUGCAGGCGAUACGGGCAAACUUGAGUACUGCAGGGGAGACUGGAAUUCCUGGUGUAGCGGUGAAAUGCGCAGAUAUCAGGAGGAACACCGGUGGCGAAGGCGGGUCUCUGGGCAGUAACUGACGCUGAGGAGCGAAAGCGUGGGUAGCGAAC